UACGAAGGGGGCUAGCGUUGUCCGGAAUCACUGGGCGUAAAGCGCACGUAGGCGGAUUGCUAAGUCAGGGGUGAAAUCCUGGAGCUCAACUCCAGAACUGCCUUUGAUACUGGCGAUCUUGAGUCCGGGAGAGGUGAGUGGAACUGCGAGUGUAGAGGUGAAAUUCGUAGAUAUUCGCAAGAACACCAGUGGCGAAGGCGGCUCACUGGCCCGGUACUGACGCUGAGGUGCGAAAGCGUGGGGAGCAAACAGG
Molecule: ribosomal RNA, 253 nt
Filed under: uncultured bacterium
Lineage: Bacteria
Description: partial 16S ribosomal RNA
Rfam family: Bacterial small subunit ribosomal RNA
Source: RNAcentral